AUUGGGAGAGUUGACCACCCAAGAUCAUACUUUAUGGAUAUGAACAUUCAUCUUUCAAUUAGGAUUCAUUCAGUUUCAUCAUUUCGAGCACUCUUAUGCCUCAAACCCCUACACAUCUCUGUUAAAAUAAAAUCCCAUUAGUCAUCUAACUGUCCUAAUAUCCCCUCAUAGUCAUUAAAUUGUUUUGAAGUGUUCUUAACACCUUCUCCUUUGCAUGUGUCUGUUUUCAAAAUUGAAACAUCAGUGUUUGGAAGUUUUUCAGUGGUUAUUAAAGUGUUGACUCUGGAGGACUGUUUACAGCUGGAAAUCUAAAGAUUUUUCUCAUCAAUGUACACAAUAAGGACCCCAUUCUUAUCUACAGGAUAUACAUUAAAAGCAGAAUUGAGAAUGUCACAUGCUGGGUUGAGAAUGACACGCCAACAAACUCUCUAAUGGAGGAGACUGUACCCAUGAAAAAUGCAAUAAACUAUCUUGUGUGA
Homo sapiens (human) is the source of this 479-nucleotide long non-coding RNA. Lineage: Eukaryota; Metazoa; Chordata; Mammalia; Primates; Hominidae. The record is from Ensembl.